RNAcentral lists this ribosomal RNA (2847 nucleotides) under Salmonella enterica subsp. enterica serovar Typhimurium. Its description in RNAcentral is "partial 23S ribosomal RNA". It matches the Rfam family "Bacterial large subunit ribosomal RNA". Lineage: Bacteria; Pseudomonadati; Pseudomonadota; Gammaproteobacteria; Enterobacterales; Enterobacteriaceae. The record is from RNAcentral.
UCUGCGAUAAGCGCCGGUAAGGUGAUAUGAACCGUUAUAACCGGCGAUACCCGAAUGGGGAAACCCAGUGUGAUUCGUCACACUAUCAUUAACUGAAUCCAUAGGUUAAUGAGGCGAACCGGGGGAACUGAAACAUCUAAGUACCCCGAGGAAAAGAAAUCAACCGAGAUUCCCCCAGUAGCGGCGAGCGAACGGGGAGGAGCCCAGAGCCUGAAUCAGCAUGUGUGUUAGUGGAAGCGUCUGGAAAGGUGCGCGAUACAGGGUGACAGCCCCGUACACAAAAGCGCAUGUGCUGUGAGCUCGAUGAGUAGGGCGGGACACGUGGUAUCCUGUCUGAAUAUGGGGGGACCAUCCUCCAAGGCUAAAUACUCCUGACUGACCGAUAGUGAACCAGUACCGUGAGGGAAAGGCGAAAAGAACCCCGGCGAGGGGAGUGAAAAAGAACCUGAAACCGUGUACGUACAAGCAGUGGGAGCACAGGUUUACCUGUGUGACUGCGUACCUUUUGUAUAAUGGGUCAGCGACUUAUAUUCUGUAGCAAGGUUAACCGUAUAGGGGAGCCGGAGGGAAACCGAGUCUUAAUUGGGCGUUAAGUUGCAGGGUAUAGACCCGAAACCCGGUGAUCUAGCCAUGGGCAGGUUGAAGGUUGGGUAACACUAACUGGAGGACCGAACCGACUAAUGUUGAAAAAUUAGCGGAUGACCUGUGGCUGGGGGUGAAAGGCCAAUCAAACCGGGAGAUAGCUGGUUCUCCCCGAAAGCUAUUUAGGUAGCGCCUCGUGAAUUCAUCUCCGGGGGUAGAGCACUGUUUCGGCUAGGGGGCCAUCCCGGCUUACCAACCCGAUGCAAACUGCGAAUACCGGAGAAUGUUAUCACGGGAGACACACGGCGGGUGCUAACGUCCGUCGUGAAGAGGGAAACAACCCAGACCGCCAGCUAAGGUCCCAAAGUCAUGGUUAAGUGGGAAACGAUGUGGGAAGGCCCAGACAGCCAGGAUGUUGGCUUAGAAGCAGCCAUCAUUUAAAGAAAGCGUAAUAGCUCACUGGUCGAGUCGGCCUGCGCGGAAGAUGUAACGGGGCUAAACCAUGCACCGAAGCUGCGGCAGCGAACGUAUCACCCAAGACAACUUUACGGAGUUGACGAUUGACGGAGCGAAGCGACGUCAAAGCGUUCAUUAAAGUCGAGUUGGCUUAGGGAUACGUUCGUUGGGUAGGGGAGCGUUCUGUAAGCCUGUGAAGGUGUGUCGUGAGGCAUGCUGGAGGUAUCAGAAGUGCGAAUGCUGACAUAAGUAACGAUAAAGCGGGUGAAAAGCCCGCUCGCCGGAAGACCAAGGGUUCCUGUCCAACGUUAAUCGGGGCAGGGUGAGUCGACCCCUAAGGCGAGGCCGAAAGGCGUAGUCGAUGGGAAACGGGUUAAUAUUCCCGUACUUGGUGUUACUGCGAAGGGGGGACGGAGAAGGCUAUGUUGGCCGGGCGACGGUUGUCCCGGUUUAAGCGUGUAGGUGUGUGUUCCAGGUAAAUCCGGUUCACUUUAACACUGAGGCGUGACGACGAGGCACUACGGUGCUGAAGCAACAAAUGCCCUGCUUCCAGGAAAAGCCUCUAAGCAUCAGGUAACAUCAAAUCGUACCCCAAACCGACACAGGUGGUCAGGUAGAGAAUACCAAGGCGCUUGAGAGAACUCGGGUGAAGGAACUAGGCAAAAUGGUGCCGUAACUUCGGGAGAAGGCACGCUGACACGUAGGUGAAGUGAUUUACUCAUGGAGCUGAAGUCAGUCGAAGAUACCAGCUGGCUGCAACUGUUUAUUAAAAACACAGCACUGUGCAAACACGAAAGUGGACGUAUACGGUGUGACGCCUGCCCGGUGCCGGAAGGUUAAUUGAUGGGGUCAGCGCAAGCGAAGCUCCUGAUCGAAGCCCCGGUAAACGGCGGCCGUAACUAUAACGGUCCUAAGGUAGCGAAAUUCCUUGUCGGGUAAGUUCCGACCUGCACGAAUGGCGUAAUGAUGGCCAGGCUGUCUCCACCCGAGACUCAGUGAAAUUGAACUCGCUGUGAAGAUGCAGUGUACCCGCGGCAAGACGGAAAGACCCCGUGAACCUUUACUAUAGCUUGACACUGAACAUUGAGCCUUGAUGUGUAGGAUAGGUGGGAGGCUUUGAAGUGUGGACGCCAGUCUGCAUGGAGCCGACCUUGAAAUACCACCCUUUAAUGUUUGAUGUUCUAACGUGGACCCGUAAUCCGGGUUGCGGACAGUGUCUGGUGGGUAGUUUGACUGGGGCGGUCUCCUCCUAAAGAGUAACGGAGGAGCACGAAGGUUGGCUAAUCCUGGUCGGACAUCAGGAGGUUAGUGCAAUGGCAUAAGCCAGCUUGACUGCGAGCGUGACGGCGCGAGCAGGUGCGAAAGCAGGUCAUAGUGAUCCGGUGGUUCUGAAUGGAAGGGCCAUCGCUCAACGGAUAAAAGGUACUCCGGGGAUAACAGGCUGAUACCGCCCAAGAGUUCAUAUCGACGGCGGUGUUUGGCACCUCGAUGUCGGCUCAUCACAUCCUGGGGCUGAAGUAGGUCCCAAGGGUAUGGCUGUUCGCCAUUUAAAGUGGUACGCGAGCUGGGUUUAGAACGUCGUGAGACAGUUCGGUCCCUAUCUGCCGUGGGCGCUGGAGAACUGAGGGGGGCUGCUCCUAGUACGAGAGGACCGGAGUGGACGCAUCACUGGUGUUCGGGUUGUCAUGCCAAUGGCACUGCCCGGUAGCUAAAUGCGGAAGAGAUAAGUGCUGAAAGCAUCUAAGCACGAAACUUGCCCCGAGAUGAGUUCUCCCUGAGACUUAGAGUCUCCUGAAGGAACGUUGAAGA